Long non-coding RNA from Oreochromis niloticus (Nile tilapia), 1922 nucleotides. RefSeq lists it as uncharacterized. Lineage: Eukaryota; Metazoa; Chordata; Actinopteri; Cichliformes; Cichlidae. The record is from RefSeq and is a predicted model, not a curated record. The transcript has 4 exons.
AAUGUGGUAAAACAAAAUAUAUCAAAGUGGUUUCCUUUUUCAUGAAAGAAAAACAGAAUCUGUCAUUGUCUUUAACCAAAACAUCAUAUAUCCUACAAUUUUUGAAUCACCCAGGUCAUUGUCUGUUCUCCUUUUUGUAUUAUGUCAUUAAUUUAUCUGUUUGGCUCGAUGUUACAGAAAUGGUUCCCACACCUGUCAUUACAAUGUUAAAGCUUAGCUCCAACCAGUCUGCUGGACUCUGCAGCAUCACAGUAAACUGCUCCAUCCAGGAUUAUUGGCUUUGGUCUGUUUGUGAUGAAGACGGCUGCAGAACAUCCUGGAAAUCAUUCAGUCAGGUCAACAUCACCAUCUUCACUGAGAACAGUACUGUGGUCUGCAGAGGCAACAACCAUGUUAGCACAAAUAAAGCUUCUGAAAGCUUAACACUGUAUCAAUGUGGAGUUCACCCGAAUCACCACAGUUCCACUGCUGUCCACAUUCAUGAGCAGUCUUGACCAGUACUCUGGCCAGUUGAUGAAGAUUCUAUGAAAAAAAGGAGGGGAAACAGCGCAGCGGAUCACAGCAGCGUUGUCUGCGAUUUCACAGAGUUCCCGAAUCGAAGUGAAGUGUGAAUGCAUCCUUAAAGCUGUGAUUAUAUACCUGAAUGAAUCAUCAAAGAGUACAUGGAUUUCAAUGUGAUGGAAGCUGAAGAGCUCGAGAGGAUGGAUUUUGGGUGUUUAUAAAAUAAUCCACGAAGGAGCACAGCCUGAUGACUCCCUUGAAGAUGUUGGCAUCAUUAUCGAGAGAUGCACCGUCUUGCAGGAUCUUCACGAUGUGGCAUGCAGGUGUGCACUUUUGUUUGGGCUAAUUUACCGCCUCAAUCUGAGUUACCCAAAGCCACUUCGCUACACAUUUGAGUUCUUCCAGAAGGUGCUCACAAGUGCUGAAGAACAAACUCUGCCAAAAGGAGACGCAAUGACUCUUCCAGAUCGAAAUGUCCCCCAAAAUAAGUGCUCUGUUUUCUUGCUGAGUAAAAGUUUUACUGUUUAAAAGUUUAUAAAUAUAUAAAUGUUGACCCUUGUUUGUAAAUAUUUUGUCAUAGCUUUUAAUAUUUAAGAGAUUUACUGAAUGCCAUUUUUCUUUUGAUUGUGGAAAAGUAAAACAUAAUUCUGAAACUGAGUUUUUUGAACUGGGGACAAAAUUACCCAGAUUGAUAUAUUUUUUUGUUUCACGUUAACAUUUUAUGCAGUUUGAGUUGCUGUGGUCAUUCUGCAGACUGUAGCCAUUGCAGACCUACAACUGUAGAUCCUGAAAUCAUUCUGUCAGGUUUGACAUCCUACUCCUCACUACACUGUCACUUAGUUGAAACUGGAAAGUUGUUUCAGAUGUUUACAUUUUGUUUUACACACUUCAUUUAAUGUUGCAUUAUGCAGUGUUGUUUCCCUGUUUAAGCUUUGCCUCAUUAAAGGCUUUUGUUCAAGUUGUUAAAGCAACACAUUUUUUUUUUUUUUUGUCUUUACACUGCAUAUUAGUUCUGGUGUACCAGGUUUCCAUUGUAGGUCAAGGAUCUUGAGUGUUAUAAAUGUUAAAGUGCAUGUGCAAACAAAUGUGAAAAGGUUCUAAGGUUGUCACCUGUACUCAAGUUAAGUGCUGGAUUUUUGGUCUCAGCAUUUAAUUAAGAAUAUUUUGAGAUUUGCUAUAUGCAUUUUUUUUUAUUAGAAAUAGGAAACUUAUAAUUCUGAAUCUGAUUUUUGGAACUGGGGACUAAAUCGCCCAGAUUUACCUUUUUGUGUCACUUAAGUAUUUUCAGUAAUUGCAUUAUACAGUGAUUUUUAAGUUGCUGUGGUAAAUCUGCAGAUCUGACUAGAAUCACAAGUUGUUGUAUUGAAUUCGACAUCUUACGGCACACUACAAUGUCACUUUGUUGAAAUUCGAAAGUUGUU